RNAcentral lists this ribosomal RNA (497 nucleotides) under uncultured bacterium. RNAcentral's name for it is "partial 16S ribosomal RNA". It matches the Rfam family "Bacterial small subunit ribosomal RNA", at positions 28 to 507 of the family's 1533-position model. The record is from RNAcentral.
GAUGAACGCUGGCGGCGUGCCUAAUACAUGCAAGUCGAGCGAACAGAUGAGGAGCUUGCUCCUCUGACGUUAGCGGCGGACGGGUGAGUAACACGUGGAUAACCUACCUAUAAGACUGGGAUAACUUCGGGAAACCGGAGCUAAUACCGGAUAAUAUAUUGAACCGCAUGGUUCAAUAGUGAAAGACGGUUUUGCUGUCACUUAUAGAUGGAUCCGCGCCGCAUUAGCUAGUUGGUAAGGUAACGGCUUACCAAGGCAACGAUGCGUUGCCGACCUGAGAGGGUGAUCGGCCACACUGGAACUGAGACACGGUCCAGACUCCUACGGGAGGCAGCAAUAGGGAAUCUUCCGCAAUGGGCGAAAGCCUGACGGAGCAACGCCGCGUGAGUGAUGAAGGUCUUCGGAUCGUAAAACUCUGUUAUUAGGGAAGAACAAAUGUGUAAGUAACUAUGCACGUCUUGACGGUACCUAAUCAGAAAGCCACGGCUAACUACGUG